CCCUAGUAACUGCGAGUGAAGCGGGAAAAGCUCAAAUUUAAAAGCUGGCGGUCUUAGGCCGUCCGCGUUGUAAUCUAGAGAAGUGUUAUCCGCGCUGGACCGUGUACAAGUCUCCUGGAAUGGAGCGUCAUAGAGGGUGAGAAUCCCGUCUUUGACACGGACUGCCAGGGCUUUGUGAUGCGCUCUCAAAGAGUCGAGUUGUUUGGGAAUGCAGCUCAAAAUGGGUGGUAAAUUCCAUCUAAAGCUAAAUAUUGGCGAGAGACCGAUAGCGAACAAGUACCGUGAGGGAAAGAUGAAAAGAACUUUGGAAAGAGAGUUAAACAGUACGUGAAAUUGCUGAAAGGGAAACGCUUGAAGUCAGUCGCGUUUGCCAGGGAUCAACCUCGCUUUUGCUGGGCGUACUCUCUGGUUGACGGGCCAGCAUCAAUUUUGGUCACUGGAAAAAUUCCAAGGGAAUGUGGCAUCUUCGGAUGUGUUAUAGCCUUUGGUUGCAUGCAGUGGCUGGGAUUGAGGAACUCAGCACGCCGAAAGGCAGGGUCUUUGACCACAUUCGUGCUUAGGAUGCUGGCAUAAUGGCUUUAAUCGACCCGUCUUGAAACACGGACCAAGGAGUCUAACAUGCCUGCGAGUGUUUGGGUGGAAAACCCGAGCGCGUAAUGAAAGUGAAAGUUGAGAUCCCUGUCGCGGGGAGCAUCGACGCCCGGACCAGAGCUUUUGUGACGGAUCUGCGGUAGAGCAUGUAUGUUGGGACCC
This 753-nucleotide ribosomal RNA is filed under the name Galerina sphagnorum. RNAcentral's name for it is "eukaryotic LSU rRNA". It matches the Rfam family "Eukaryotic large subunit ribosomal RNA", at positions 78 to 817 of the family's 3401-position model. The record is from RNAcentral. Lineage: Eukaryota; Fungi; Basidiomycota; Agaricomycetes; Agaricales; Galerinaceae.